RNAcentral lists this ribosomal RNA (380 nucleotides) under uncultured cyanobacterium. Its description in RNAcentral is "bacterial SSU rRNA". It matches the Rfam family "Bacterial small subunit ribosomal RNA", at positions 376 to 770 of the family's 1533-position model. Lineage: Bacteria; Bacillati; Cyanobacteriota. The record is from RNAcentral.
CGAAAGCCUGACGGAGCAAGACCGCGUGGGGGAGGAAGGCUCUAGGGUUGUAAACCCCUUUUCUUUGGGAAGAACAAAAUGACGGUACCAAAGGAAUCAGCCUCGGCUAACUCCGUGCCAGCAGCCGCGGUAAGACGGAGGAUGCAAGCGUUAUCCGGAAUUAUUGGGCGUAAAGGGUCCGCAGGUGGCUAUUCAAGUCUGCUUUCAAAGAGUGGAGCUCAACUCCAUAGAGGGAGUGGAAACUACAAAGCUAGAGUCUGGUAGGGGCAAAGGGAAUUCCCGGUGUAGCGGUGAAAUGCGUAGAGAUCGGGAAGAACAUCGGUGGCGAAAGCGCUUUGCUAGACCAGAACUGACACUCAGGGACGAGAGCUAGGGGAGCG